Molecule: long non-coding RNA, 33886 nt
Filed under: Malus domestica (apple)
Lineage: Eukaryota; Viridiplantae; Streptophyta; Magnoliopsida; Rosales; Rosaceae
Source: RNAcentral
GCUCUCCAGGUGGGAGGCAGAGGAGAAAGAGCAGCAUUAGUCAUUUUCGAAGCUCGAGCACCAUGGAUGCCAAGUCCGUGUAUUCCUCAUCGAGUUCAGGGUUUCGAACACCUCCUCCUUAUAGCCAUGCACAAACAGCAGCCUCCAAGAGCUAUAAAUAUUUGAGAAGCUAUUCGGAUAAUCAACAUCAGCACCAGCACCAACAACAACAUUUAUCUAAGCAAUUGCUUCAGCAAGCGCAGUUGUUCUUCUCUAAUACCUACAUGCAGGCCCAAGCUCUACAUUCCAAUAGUAACACCUCUACUCAAUCUCCUUCAAGUGGGUAUUACCAUGGUCCAAGACGCAGACCUGAGCAACAGCAGCAGUCACAAGGCUCAUCUGGGACUUCCUCGAGUGGGAUGUUGUCACUCUGCCCUCCCGUUACACAUUCUAAUAUGAGCACCAAUGAUCCUGCAAAGGCGGCAGCUACUACAGCUGCCAGCAACAUGAAAGGCGGUAACUUAUCCUUGCAUGCUCUUAUGCAUGAUCAGUUUGCUGCAGCACAAUCCUCCGGGCCACACCAGCUUGUACCUGUAGGUUUCCCUUAUGUACAUGCUGCUGUUCCUAGUACGGUCCAGGUAAAACCGGCAGAACAGAAGAAACAACCCGCCGGUGAGUAGAACAGUUAUCCCUUGGCGCAACAUUGCAACCCCCCCCCAAAAUUUUACGGAUGAAAAACUGGAAAAGGAAGCUGAAAUCAGUUUAGGUGGCGGGGAUUGUGUACGAAAAGCUUGAUUCUUGCCCAAGGAAACGAGAAUUUGCAUUCUCCCUCUGGCAGCCUAAGAAGAAGUGGAAGAAAAAGCAAGAACAAGACACCGGGAAGGUCUAGGUGGAAUGGAAUUUGAACCCACAAUUUUGGGAUGAAAGUUUAGCAGGAUGGGAAAUUGCAGGAAAAGUUGGGAUGUUUUGUUGGGGCAGAAAGAGAGAAGAACGGCAUAAGAGGAGGAUGUCACCCAAAUCCAAGUCCGGCGAGCUCACGGACCUCAAGCUAGAAUCCAGGUCCGUCUCUCAGCUAACUCUCAUCUCUCUCUCGGUCCGUACACCCCUCAAGCCCACUCGUCUCCAUAGCUCCACCGUCAACUAUUACAUUUCCCUCAAAGCCGCUGUCCAUCCACGUGGUGCUGAGCUUGAUCGCGGCCGGGUCAAAAGGUCCGACCAAGGACCAGCUGCUCUCGCUCCUCCUGUAGCAGCACCGUCAGCAGCAGUACCCCACCCACGUUUUGGUUCGAUAAGCUACCCUCCUCCAAUAUAGCAAAGUCCAAAGUCAUCGAGAACUUCAAGGUUCUGGGCGUCAAUUUCGUCCUGGGUGAUCUGUACGAUCACGAGAGCUCGGUGAAUGUGAUCAAGCAAGUCGACGUGGUGAUCUCGACGGUGAAACAUGGUCAGUUGGCUGAUCAGGGAAAUAUCAUUACUUACGCAGGCAGCUCGUUUUUAAAGUCCAUGCGGAGCAGAUGUUUGUUGGACAUGGAGAUCGGUUAUCCAAUGUCAUCCAAACAGAAACUCAAAGCCGGAGAUCAUGAGAGCAGCCGAAGAAAGAGAGAUGUUCUCCGCUCCCUGCUGCUAUCGACUCCCUCAAAGUUCAGACGGCUGCUCCUUGUUCCUCUCUGCCCAACGAGAGUCCCAUCCGUGAGCCCAGAUACCACAAUGUGCACCCUCGUCUCGGCCGAUAGCAACGGAAAGGCAGCAGCAAAGUGGUGACAUUCGGAGACCGUAAGCCCACCGUAAUUCUCUCUCCGUCUCUCUUAGACGAACAACAAUAGUGUCGCUCACUCCAGGACCAGCUGCUCUUGCACCUCCCGUGGUAGCACCGUCGGCAGCAAGCAAGUCAUCUUCCUCCGUGCUCCUCCUUCUUCCUCCUCCAAGCUCCAAUCCUGCACCCUAUAUAUAUAUAUAUAUAUAUAUCUAUAUGUAUGUACGUACGUAUGUAUGUAUGCAUGAAAAGGACAAAAAAAAAAUAAUAAUAAUAAUUUAUAAAAAAAGGGAAAAGAUGAGACAUGGUGCACCCGGCACCGAAAGCGAAAAUAAAAUAAAAUAAAAUAAUAAAAUAAUAAAAAAAAAUAUAUAUAUAUAUAAUAAUAAUAAUAAUAAAUAUAAAAAAUGAUGGUGUCAGCCAUCACCCUAAAAUAUAUAUAUAUAUAUAUAAUAAUAGGUGCAUGAUUAAAAAAACAAAAAAAAAAAGGAAAUGAAGGUGGUGGUGCGUCUGGCACCAUGUGAUAAAAAAAAAGGGAAGUGGUAGGUGCAUCCAGCACCGAAAAAAAAUAAAAAAAAAUGAGGGAGCAUCUAGCACCAUGAGAAACAUAUACAAAUAAUAUAUAUAUAUAUAUAUAUAUAUAUAUAUAUAUAUAUAUAUAUAUAUAUAUAUAUAUAUAUAUAUAAUGCAUUUAGUAAAGUCCAUCUUUUAUUUAUUUCUCUAAAAAAUUUACAUAAAUUCGCGUUUCGCAUGUCAUAAAAAUUAAAAAAAAAAGAAAAAAAAAAGACAAAUCAAAUUUACAGGAGGGGAUCUUCAAGGUUGCUUGUUUGAAGCCGUACCACUCGGCGGAACUCCAGGAAGAAGAGGAGCCAAAGGUUGAUCAUCUGGAGCUUCAUUACGCGGUACAGCCCCAGAAGAUGAAGGCAAAUGCUGAUGGAACAAACCCACAAACCUCUGAUGAUCAAGUAAAAUCUGACCAUCAGAUUCCUGCAUCUGGUCAAUCUUCCUCUUCAUGUUUGUCGCAUAGUUAUGUGCGAGUUUAUGCAACUGUUUAUUCUCCUGCUUGAGCCCUCUAAUCUCCUGUUUGAGACUCAUCACUUCAGCCGCCAAUGAUUCAACUUGACGGGUUCGAGCAAAUAGGCGUUGGGCCAUAUUAGACACAGAACCUGCACACUGCACACUGAGAGCCAGAGAAUCCUUAACAGCCAACUCAUCAGACCGUUUGGAAAGUAGUCUGUUAUCUCUGGGAGUGACAAGGUUUCGGGCCACCACCGCAGCGGUCAUAUCAUUCUUCACCACCGAAUCCCCAACGGUAAGAGGACCAGUAGGGGAUAUGAAGGAUGGGCGCCAUAUGUUGUCUGGAGAAGGUGGGACUGCCUCUUCACCAAGGUUCAAAUCAAAACGACGGUCAAAGGGUCCAGACAUUUUCAAAGGUGUUGAAGAAAUAAAAGGUCGGACAAAUCAAGAUCUUAGAAGUGCAAGAAUGGAGUUUCUACAAGCGAAAAUUCAAGUGUGCUUUGAAACGAACUGCAUGCCUCUAUAAAAAUCAGCACUCAAUGAGAUUUCAGAGAUCGAAGAGGCGAGCUCAGAAUUCGAAGAGGUCAUUCAAAAAUCGAAAAGGCAAGCUCAUAAAUCGGAGAAGCAUCUUGCUUUUCCAGACGCGUCGGCACCCAUCACACGUAAACUCAGCUUUGCGGAAAUCACGGGCAAUUUGUCGAAGCGCCGAUCCUAGAUAUCGAAGAAGCGCUAGUCUUUUUCAGCCUCGUCAACACCUGUCAUAUGCACACUCAGCUUGGCGAAAAUUACGGACAAUUUGUCGAAGAUUUCUGAUAAGAAGAAAGCACGUGAAGCCAUACCGAUCAAUCACGCAUUGGUUGCCGACACGAGUAAAAGAAUAGUACCUCUACAGGUACUAAAGAAUUUCCUAUAACUGUCCACCUUCACCUUCCAUAGCAAGGCAGGCAUACAGAACCUUUCUUCAUCUCUGAGAACCUUUCUUCAUCUCCGAGAAUGUCUUCCCAACAAAGCCUCUCGGGUCACUCAGUGUUCCUUAUUCCUUGGGGUACCUCUGCAAACAAAUGACACCAAAGCAAAAGUAUCUCAUAUCACCAAGGUAGAAAGCAAAAGUAUCUUAUAUCAUGCACUCUCCCUGUCCUUUCAUUUGUCCUUGUUUUUACCUGCAAAGACAAGGAUAAAGAAAGCAAUAUGCCGGAACCUCCACUCAAACUCGGGUAAGGAACCGACUGCUUGGAACCCUUCCCUGAUUGCCUACCUAGCACUGCUCUCGAGUACUCGUCUCCCACUGUUGCUGUACUUCCAAAGAAGCUGUCACAUCUACCUGGAGAACAGAUAAGGCAAGUGAAAAUGAUACCUUGCAGCAUGUGGAGACAACGUGCAGAAGGAACAAGCAGAGAAGAAUGCGGUCUGCACAGUCAACUCAGCAGAAGGAAUCCGAGCUGAAGAACUCGAGAAACUGCCACAUCUGCCUGAAGAAACAAGCAGAAGAAUGCAGCAUGCACAGUUAACUCAGCAGAAAGAGUCUGAGAUGAAGAACUCGAGAAGAUGCCACAUCUGCCUGAGGAACAGAUAAAGCAAGGGAAAAUAAUACAUUGAAGCAUGUGGAGACAAGUGCAACAAAGCACGUGCUGAGUCAUCCGCUACUUCUUCAAAAUCAAAAGUAUCUCAUAUCAUCAGGGUUGAAAUCAUUCUGGACGGUGAACUUGUUUUGACCCUCAAAUUCUUGGGUCGACUUACUAGGCGUUGUGGGCUGCACGUGCCGAUUCACCACCCUUGAAUCAAAUCCUUAAAGAUCAAGUCACCAACUGGAAGAAUAGCCCAUCAAUCUUGAAGAUCACACCGUUGACCAAACUGCUCAGGUGUGAAUUAGAAAGAUUGAACAAAGCAACAAGUCGUCACCUUCACCUCGUGCCUGCUUGCCAUGUGUUCGAGUUAACCUUCAAGAAUCAAGCCUCAACGGCCCUUGAAGAAGUUUCCAGCCAAAUUCAAGAUCAAGCCUCGAUGGCCCUUGAGGAAAUCACAAGUCCGAUUCAAGAUCAAGUGUCUAUCACCCUUGAAUCAAAACCAGUUCAAGAAUAAGCUGUGGAAAGUCAACAAGUGCAACAAAAUACGUGCCGAUUCAUCCACUACCAAAGCCAAGGAUCAUCUACCACAUGAAGCUCCUUGUGGUCCAAUUUCAACCUUCAAGAUCAAGCCUCGACGGCCCUUGAAGAAAUUUCAAACAAAAGUUCAAGAACAAGCCUCAACGGCCCUUGAAGAAAUCUCCAGCCCAAUUCAAGAUCAAGCCUCGACGGCCCUUGGAUCGACAUCUACAGUAAGGGACUUCAAAACGCAUCUCCUACACGUGACAAGCACAUGUAUACGACGUGCCUUGAAGUGGGGGCAUUUGUAGACAUCGAAAUUUCGGUAAAUAAAUGUUGACCGAUAAAUCAAAGUGUCAACGCUCAUGUAUUACAUAAAUUUUACACAUAGCGUGUGACUCAACGAAAAUUGAAAUGAGUUGGAAAAGUCAUCAAAUAGGACACGUGUCAACACCUGGCAGAAACGACUUAUUUCAUCUGGGAUAUUAUAUUCAAAAUUAGGCCUUGGAAAAUUUUAUAAAUACAAGCCAAUUUCAUUCAUUUGGGGGGAACCAAAAUCAUUAAGCAAGCUCUGAAGCUCUGAAACUCUGAAACUCCGAAGCUCUCAAGCAUCCAGGUUCCCGAAGAAUCAAGAAAGCUCUCUUCGUUCUUCGUUCAUCGUUCUUCCAAGAUCAAGCCCCAACGGCCCUUUAGAUCAACAAUCAUCCACCAAUUCAAGAUCAAGCCCCGACGGCCCUUGAAGAAAGCAUCGCCGUUCAUCAUCCGUUCAUCCAAGAUCAAGCCCCAACGGCCUUUUGGAUUAACAACGUCGACAAAUCCACACACAUCCAACCGUUCUUCAAGAUUAAGCCCAAAAGCCCUUGAAGAUCUGUUCAUCACUGUUUCUUCAAGAUCAAGCCCAAAAGCCCUCGAAGAUCCGUUCAUCACCGUUCCUCAAGAUCAAGCCCCAACGGCUCCUUGAAGAUCCGCUCAAAUCCACUUUCAAAGAUCAAGCCCACGGCCCUUAAAGAACGUUCAUCCAAGAUCAAGCAUCGACGGCCCUUGGAUCAAUCGCACAUCCACCAAUCAACACCUUACAGAGAUCAAAUCAGAGGAUCAAAUUAGAGAGAGAUUGUAACCCAAAACUAUCAAAAUACAAAUAUUUGUUUGUGCACGUUGUUCUUGUCUCUUUUGUUUCAGGAAUUUUCCGUGUUUACAAUAAUAACUAUAAAUAAUAUUGUAAAAUGUAUGUUAUAAAUAUUUUUAACGAAUUCAUAACGAAUCGAACUGAAUAUCGUACUGUCUAUGUGUACCUUAUGACGAAUGGUACUUUAGGUUACUACCGAAUUCCGUACCCGAAUUGAACCACGAACUCGAACCGAACCCGUAUCUAGCAAUUAUUGGAAACAUUUUUUUUUUUUGGUUUUUUUUACUGAUAUUAGUAGUUUUUUAGGGUUUAAUUAUUUGAUUUCACAAAUUCAUUAGACACAUUACAUUGUUACAUUUUAAAUUCGUAUUUCAUAACUUGGUUGCUUGAUUCUAAUGUCGAUCCGUUACAACAGAAGUGAACUUUUUCUACUUUAAGCAUGGAAUUUUUGCUUUUGUUUUUAUUGUUGUUGCCUUGAUUGUGGUUAUCUGACUUAUUAAUACUCCAUCAUAUAUUGAGCAAUAUCAUGCGGCUCAAAGAAUUUCGUUAUGUGUUUACGCGUAUUUUGUAACAUCCCACAUCGACUAGGGGAGUGAUCCUUAAAUAUAUAUUCUCAUCCCUACCUAGCAUGAGUCAUUUUGGGAGCUCACUGGCUUCGGGUUCCGUAGGAACUCCGAAGUUAAGCAAGAAUGGGCCAAGAGCAAUCCCAUGAUGGGUGACCCACUGGGAAGUUGCUCGUGAGUUCCCAGAAACAAAACCGUGAGGGAAUGGUAAGCCCAAAGCGGACAAUAUCGUGCUACGAUGGUAGAGCAGGUCCGGGAAGUGAUAUGCCUCGGGUCGGGAAGUGACAAAUGGUAUCAGAGCCAAUCCUUGGCCGGAAGUGUGUCAAUGAGGACGUUGGGCCCCUAAGGGGGGUGGAUUGUAACAUCCCACAUCGCCCAUGGGAGUGAUCCUUAAAUGUAUAUUCUCAUCCCUACCUAGCACGAGACCUUUUGGGAGCUCACUGGCUUCGGGUUCCGUAGGAACUCCGAAGUUAAGCAAGAAUGGACCAAGAGCAAUCCCAUGAUGGGUGACCUACUGGGAAGUUGUUCGUGAGUUCCCAGAAACAAAAUCGUGAGGGAAUGGUAAGCCCAAAGCGGACAAUAUAGUGCUACGGUGGUGGAACAGGCCUGGGAAGUGAUUCGCUCCGAGCCGGGAUAUGACAUAUUUUGUCCUCUGAAUAAUUCUAAUCAAAUUCCAUUGCUCCUAAGCUAAGGUCAAAAUUUGUAGCAUAUAAGGGAAGGUUAGCAGAUACUUACCAAUUAUCCAGAGCUGGAUAUUAAGGUCUAAUUAACAUUAAUAUCUUUUUGUUUGUGUAGCAUCUGCUUGGAAAAGGUUUCAACUUUAUUUUUUAUUUGUUUGAUGAUCAAUUGAUGUAUUUUAUAAAAGUUGAUCUGCAAGAUGUUAAGAUGAUUUCUUUGUUUAUGUAUACUGUUUAAUUAUAUCAAUGGAAAUUGGUGCUGCCAUUGUGGCAGUAGAUGAAUUUCUGGCUUUUGAGAUGAAGUACUAAAAAAUUUUGAUUUCUUUUUUCUUUGCAUGCUUUUCUUUUAAUUUUGCAGGAAUUCUCACGUUGCUUUGAUUAAGUUAUACAUGGCCAUGAUAAGGUAUUGCUCACCCCCACAACAUUUUGUACAUGUGUGGCAUUAAUAUAUUUUGUUUUCUGAUUGAAUUUGUUUUCAUUCAAUGGGGUUGGUGAGCUAAAUAGCAAGUGGCUUUUUAAUCGUGUUUAAAUUGAUGUCCUAAUUUCGUUGGUUUUGUUCAUAAUUAGUGUGUUAUGUUGUUUUCCUGUGUGUUUUAUGUGUUUGUUAAUUUAUGGGAGUCUUCACAAGAAAUGUUGUGUACAAAAAUAUUUUUCUUCCAUCAUAUGUAUGAUAACAUUACAUUCAUUCUUUUAAUGUUUAAUUCACUUUUCAAAGCCAUGUAGAUAAAUACAUUUAAAUUGUAUAAAUCGCGCGUAGAAUGCCGUAAUUAUAAAAAGGCCUUCCGCACGCGCUAAUCGACAUAGGGGCCUUGAACAAAAAAAAAUUGAUGUAGGGGCACAAAAAGGCACGAGAUCUAGCAUUAAACAUCUAAAAAUGCCCGUUGCUUCACGAUAAUACCAUUGUUACAAUAUGGCCGCAAAUUGAGAGAUUUGGACCAUUCAAGAGAGUGAGAUAUAAGUCGUUCGAGUUUUUAGGUUUUUGUGAGAUGGAUCACUGAAAUGUGAGGACUGUAAAUUAAAUUGAAUUGUCCGAAUCUCUUAAUUGACAAACAUCGAACAUGAAGAUAACGAGUGGAUCUCAAUCCUCAAAUUAUUGUCGUUGGUUGGCUCCUUUUCCUUUUCGCUACUUUUGUGUUCCCACGUGGUAUUUGGUUAGAGUUAAUUUACAUUACUGGUAUCAUCACAUUUUAAUUCUACAACUGGAAACAAAAGCAACCCAAAGAAGGCCAAACUACAAGGCCAGUCUUGAGUAUUUUCAUGCUUGGGACGAACACUCAAAAUGUGUCUUUUUUUAAUACACCAACAUAUAAUAAAAAAAUAUGUAAAGAGGGCUGGAAACCAGUCGAAGCUGGGGGGCUAGGCCCUCACGCCCAUAUUAUAUUACUAGAAGAAAAACAUACAACGGGAGGACAUGGGACCUAAACCCGUCGAUUAAAAGCAAAAUCAUAUACAACCACUCCGAGUAGUCAACAUGGCCAUCACAUAUUGAAUCCAAAAAGUUGAUGCUCCAUUCACCACACAUAAUGUACAGAAGAUAACAAAAUUACUACCACUUAAAGCUCAUAACAUUGAGUAAAAAGAAUCAUCUGAAAAGACGAACAGAUGCAUCAAUUCUAUUAGAGAAGCCAAUCAUGCGGUAUACUUUGAAGAAGAUAAGGAAAACCUGAUCAACAUAUAUCUUGACCAUUCUAAGUGCAAAUUUAGAAGUGAUAUGCUCCAAGUAUGAUAUUGGACAGAAAAGACCAGGCAGAUUCAACCAGUUCUGCUGUGUCCGGCUGGGUGAGAGCAGCUAAAGACAUGAUUGUUCCCUAAUAACAUGAAUAAAUUGAGUAAACACCAAAAGUAGCAGCAAGGGAAGGAGAUGUGAUGUAGAUGAAGAGGUGUAAAACCUGUGAAUGUCCAACAACAAAGACUUUGGAGCUUGUCGUCGAGGUUAUGCAGCGCAUCAUUUCUGUCUCUUCUGAUAAAGAUGUGUGUCCAUGACUCCAUCGUGUUCCACGCACAUUCCCUACGCAUACAUCAAAACCUUCAUCUCCCAGCGAUUCUUCUCGAGAGUUUAAGAACGAUGCAUCACCUGGUUAAGAUCAAGAAAAGCCAGUAACCAAGUUCAAUGGAGUUUGAAGCACAUUAGAGCCUAAUUUAUAAUGUAUCCCAUGGAUGUUCAUCACUUUACUCAAUAGUUAGUUUUCAAGAAAAUAAAUUUCAACAGAACCUGAAAACUUCAGAUCAGGGAGCACCAUAUUGUGAGCUAUAUAUUCAAAUUCUGAAACAAUCGACUUAGUGGUAUGUUGAAAAAAAUCAGAAGGAGCUAUCAAAGUAAGGCUUUUCACUAAUCAGGCGUCGAGAGAUUCAAUAUUUUACUCACAAAUCAGUUAUGGGGAAACACUCCCCACCAAAGCAAUCUCAUUAGUCCUUCACAUCUCAAACCAGACAGAAAUUGCACUAACAAACACGACUUCUAUUAGUCCUUCACAUUCCAAACCCAGUAAGUAGCCAACUUUCGUCUGAAUCUGGAAAACAAGAAGCAGUGAAUUUAAUUUAUCUUGGUAUCUCAAAGUUACUCAGUUUAAUCACAAAUUUAACAAUUAAACAUAUAAAUGGGCAAAUUUUUAGUGAAAUAUUAAUUAGUAUAGUACUCACUGUUUGCUCGGAGCAAGAGUACAUUUGAUCCGCUGCAGAGUUUAAGAUGUCCUCUCACGCUUCCAUGCAACACUGAGACAUUUGAUCCGCUGUUGAAGCUCAACACGAACAUUGUGUAUAAAAUACGCGACCAUCCAACUACACAGUUCAAAACUCAAUUUAGAGCUCCUUCUAGUGAGAUAUUAAUGGAAGAAUGAAGGUACAAAACCAACAAAGAAAAAUAUGAAGAGGGACCUUGCAUGGGUGGCUACUUCCUAUAGUGUCAGUUAAUUUUAUGGUGGAAACUCAAACCCGUUCUUCGUUUAUCGCAUUCGCAGAAAUGAGGCACGUGUAUAAGCAAAAGCUCUAUGGUUAUUCGAUUCCUUCAUCCCAUCUGUUUCUUCUUUGAAUCAGUACUGCAUAUCCAUGAAAGUACAUUAAGAAGCAAAACCAAAACCGAAAAAGUUUGAAAGCUUUUUUAUAUAGUUUGGAAAUUGCCAAGAACUGACACGGUUGUGCAAUAUGAUAAUUGAAUUAAAGAAGUCCGUACAAAUUGUCAUCUGGCCGGUUACUUGGUAGCUUCAAUUCCAUCUAAACGCUUAAACCGUCCUUGGUUUCAGCACCUGAAAAAGACAAGGGAAAUUAAAGAGAAAUUAAAAAAAUUGAAGUAAUCACCACAGGUGGCUCAGUGUUUGGGUAUAAAUUCCAGAUUCGUAUUUCACAUGGCACGUCUUGGAUUUGAUUUUUAGUAUUGGUGAAUCACACAAUGGUGACCAGGAAGAGGCUAAAAUGAAGUCUCUAAAAUAGUAGACUGCCGUGUCGAAGUCACUAAUUGAUUUCCUUUUAAAAAAUAAAUAAAAAUAAGUGAAGUUAGUGGGUAAAGAAUGCAUACUUCUUUGCUUUGGAAUCAGUGUUGCUCAACGAGAAAGCAAAAGUGUGGAUAAAAUCUUUGACCAUAUGGUAUGUCAUCUGAAAAGAAAAAUAAAAUGUUGGUGAUGAAUGAAGAAUGAAGAAUAAAAUUAAGAAACGAGAAUGACAUUUGAAUAUUUUAUAGUUUCUACUGAAUAAAGCUAGUGCAAAUUGAAACAAGUUAGAAAACGUACCUUAAUAAAUAUUAGAAAUGGAUGGGAUGUGAGCAAUCUUAGGCCAAUCCUCACCUGUUUCUUUCUUGCAUCUUUCGCUUAACAUGUCGCAAUACGAAAUUUCCAAUCUAUUUAAGUUGGGGAGUCGACGAAUCCCUUCUGGCAGUGAUGCCAAAUUAGGGCAAAAUUCUUGCAAGGUGCUGCAGUGACGUGAGAUUGCUUAUUUCUUCCAGUAGUGAUACCAACUUUGGGAAAGAUCCAAUCGUAAGCGAUUGGAGUGAUGGGAGGUUGACGACCACUUCUGGCAGUAAUGUCAGAUUAGAGCAAUCUCCAAUUGUAAGCUUCUGAAGUGAUGUAAGAUUGGCGAUCCCUUCUAACAUUGAUGUCAAAUUGGAGCAAUUUCUAACUGUAAGCUCCCGAAAGGAUGCGAGGUUGCCCAUCCCAUGAUAUGGUAGUAAUGCCAAAUUUGGGCAACUGGCAAUGUAAAGCGAUUGGAGUGAUGGGACGUUGCCCAUUCCUUGAGACGUUAUACAUUCCAAAUCCUCAAUUUUAACUAGUGACAGAUGUGUUAAUUUGGAGAGAUGAGCGGAAGAAGAAGAGGCAGAGACAACAACACCAACAUCAUGUGUAAUAUCAGAUGCUCCUCUACCAAACAAGGAAUCAACAACCUUCCAGCUGCUCUUAUAGAGAGAUAUUGUCUCCACAUUUGGAUAUAGAGGCAUGGAAGUUAGAUUAGGACAAUCCCAGAUCCAAAAUGUAGAAAGACAGGGAAAAGAAGGCAACGACAGAUUUUCCGUUGAUGAAGGAGAAGAAGCACUGUUAUGAGUGUGCGCCCUCCACCAUCCCUUCAGAACAGGGCAAUUUACAACCCUGAGGAACUCCAGGGACGUCAUCAUCUCAUCACUCAUACUAUUACUGCUGCUGGUAUUGUCUGAUAUGUACUUCAAUUUCUCAAACCCUUCAAGUUGAAGAGACUUAAGGGAUGGGAAAUGAUCCAAGGGUGGAAGAUGUUGACAUCUAUGACACCCAGUCAAUCUGAGAUCAACAAGAUUUAUGAGAGAAGAAAACCAACUCGCAAACCUCACACCACCAUAAUAAUACACGAACAACUUCUUUAGAUUUGAACGGGGUUGCAAUACUUCCAUUGACAAUAUAAUAUCCUUCUCAUCACCGCCUUAAGUAGAAUAUGACGUUGUCAACAAAUUAAUGAAAUAAACGCAAUUAGCCAUAUAUCUUUUUUAUUUUUUUAGAAAAAAUAACUAAAAGUUAAAAAAACCUUCGUAAAAAGUCAUUUUUAAAAGUAUAAUAAAUAAUACAAAAAAAAAAUUUAAAUAUGAUUUUUUAAAAAAAGUAAAUUAUACCGAAAAUAUUUUGUUAAACCUCUUUUUUUUUUUCGUCAAAUUAGCCAUCUAUCUUUUAUACAUUAAGGCGGUGGCCCAGUUUGGGGUCACGGGCUUGGACAAAAAUAAUAGGACGAAAAUGCCUCUCAGCCAAAAAAAUUCAAAACAUCAAAAAAGAAUGCAUAAAAUAAUCGAAGGAUAAUUAUGUAAAUUUACUUUUUAAUAAAAUAAUGCCCUGCUUCUUCUACAAUCUUCCACACCGUUCCAUUUUCUCAGUAGGCACCGAUCAGUCGAACACCGUCCAGGAAUGCGUCUCCGAAUUCAUUAGCUUCGUCACCAGCGAGUAAUUUUCACCUCUCUCUCUCUCUCUCUCUAUCUCUCUUUCUCUCUCUACUGUUAUUUACUUUUCCUUUCAAUCGGACUUUUUUGUAUUGAUUUUGAAUUGGGAUUUUUUGGGGUGUCUAGGGCCAGCGAUAAGUGCCAGAAGGAGAAGCGAAAGACCAUCAACAGCAACGAUUUGUUGUGGGCGAUGGCCACGUUAGGGUUUGAGGACUAUAUCUGCAUAUAAUUAGUAUAUAGGAUCUUUUUUUUUUUAUCGAAAGUUUUUUUUUCACCUUUUGGUUUAGGCUUCUCUAAGAUAUCGAAGCUAUAUUUAAUGAUUUCAUGUUUUAUUUAAUUGUGUUACAUCUUAAUUUGAUGGUGUUUACAGAAGGAUACAUGUAGAUGUAGCAAUUGUUUUGUAAGAGCCAAAGAAAAUGUACAUCGGCUUGGGUUAGCAGUUGCUAUUUCAUCCCACAGAUGGAGACGCUAUUGAUAUUGAGUAAUCUUCAAAGAAAGUCACCUCUUCAGAGAAGCAAUAUGGCAGCAUUCGUUAAGCACUUUCCAAGGUACGGACUUCACCAAUCCUAGGUUUUAGUUUGUUUCUAAUUUAUUGAGUUUUUAGGGGCAUAUUAUGUAAUUAAAGGGGAAGGAGGGGUCCAAUUUGGUUUCGAAAUCUUGAAUCUGAUCAAAUGAAAGAAUCAAAAUUCAAAGAUAAUAUGCCACCAAUCAUAGGACUCUGACUUCCAACUCUGCUGCUGCACUGAAGGAUCAUACUUUUCUUCAUACAUUGGAAACAUUUUUUGUUUUUUUUGGUUUUUUUUACUGAUAUUAGUAGCUUUUUAGGGUUGAACUAUUUGAUUUCACAGAUUCAUUACAGACACAUUACAUAGUUACAUUUUAAAUUCGUAUUUCAUAACUUGGUUGCUUGAUUCUAAUGUCGAUUCGUUACAACAGAAGUGAACUUUUUCUACUUUAAGCAGGAAUUUUUGCUUUUGUUUUUAUUGUUGUUGCCUUGAUUGUGGUUAUCUGACGGAUUAAUACUCCAUCAUAUAUUGAGCAAUAUCGUGCGGCUCAAAGAAUUUCGUUAUGUGUUUACGCGUAUUUUGUACUCUGAAUAAUUGUAAUCAAAUUCCAUUGCUCCUAAGCUAAGGUCAGAAUUUGUAGCAUAUAAGGGAAGGUUAGCAGAUACUUACCAAUUAUCCAAAGCUGGAUAUUAAGGUCUUUAACAUUAAUAUCUUUUUGUAUGUGUAGCAUCUGCUUGGAAAAGGUUUCAACUUUAUUUUUUAUUUGUUGGAUUGAUCAAUUGAUGUAUUUUAUGAAAGUUGAUCUGCAAGAUGUUAAGAUGAUUUCUUUGUUUAUGUAUACUGUUUAAUUAUAUCAAUGGAAAUUGGUGCUGCCAUUGUGGCAGUAGAUGAAUUUCUGGCUUUUGAGAUGAAGUACUAAAAAAUUUUGAUUUCUUUUUUCUUUACAUGCUUUUCUUUUAAUUUUGCUGGAAUUCUCACGUUGCUUUGAUUAAGUUAUACAUGGCCAUGAUAAGGUAUUGCCCGUCCCCACAAACAUUUUGUACAUGUGUGGCAUUAAUAUAUUUUGUUUUCUGAUUGAAUUUGUUUUCAUUCAAUGGGGUUGGUGAGCUAAAUAGCAAGUGGAUUUUUAAUCGUGUUUAAAUUGAAGUCCUAAUUUCGUUGGUUUUGUUCAUAAUUAGUGUGUUAUGUUGUUUUCCUGUGUGUUUUAUGCGUUUGUUAAUUUAUGGGAGUCUUCACAAGAAAUGUUGUGUUCAAAAAUAUUUUUCUUCCAUCAAAUGUAUGAUAACUUUACAUUCAUUCUUUUAAUGUUUAAUUCACUUUUCAAAUCCUUGUAGAUAAAUACAUUUAAAUUGUAUAAGUCGCGCGUCGAAUGCCGUAAUUAUAAAAGGGCCUUCCGCACGCGCUAAUCGACAUAGGGGCUUUGAACCAAAAAAAAAAAAAUCGACAUAGGGGCGCAAAAAGGCACGAGAUCAAACAUUAAACAUCUAAAAACGUCUGUUGCUUCACGAUAAUACCUUUGUUACCUUUGUUACAAUGUGGCUGCAAACCGAGAGAUUUGGACCAUUCAAAAGAGAGUGAGAUAUGAGUCGUCCAAGUUUUAGGUUUUUAUGAGGUGGAUCACUGAAAUGUAAGGACUAAAUUAAAAUUGAAUUGUCCGAAUCUCUUAAUUGACAAACAUCGAACACAAAGAUAACGAGUGGAUCUCUAUCCCCAAAUUAUAGUCGUUGGUUGGUUCCUUUUCCUUUUUGCUACUUUUGUGUUCCCACAUGGUAUUUGGUUAUAGUUAAUUUACAUUACUGGUAUCACCACAUUUUAAUUCUACAACUGGAAACAAAAGCAACCCAAAGAAAACCAAACUACAAGGCCAGACCUGAGUAUUUUGGUGCUCGAGGCGAACACUCAAAAUGUGUCUUUUAAUACACCAACAUAUAAUAAAAAAAAUUAAUAUUUAAAGAGGGCUGGAACUCAGUCGAAGCUGGGGGGCUAGGCCCUCACGCCCGUAUUAUAUUACUUGAUCAAAAACAUACAACGGGGGGACAUAGUAUCCAAACCCGUUAAUCAAAAGCAAAUUCAUAUACAACCACUCCGAGCAGUCAACAUGGCCAUCACAUAUUGAAUCCAAAAAGUUGAUGCCCCAUUCACCACACAUAAUGUAACAGAAGAUAUCAAAAUUACUACUACUAAAAUCUCAUAACAUUGAGUAAAAAGAAUCAUCUGAAAAGAUGAACAGAUCAUCAAUUCUAUUAGAGAAGCCAAUCAUGCGGUAUACUUUGAAGAAGAUGAGGAAUACCUGAUCAACAUAAAAGACCAGGCAGAUUCAACCAGUUCUGCUAUGUCCGGCUGGGUGAGAGCAGCUAAAGACAUGAUUGUUCCCUAAUAACAUGAAUAAAUUGAGUAAACACCAAAAGUAUAGCAGCAAGGAAAGGAGAUGUGAAGUAGAUGAAGAGGUGCAAAACCUGUGAAUGUCCAACAGCAAGGACUUUGGAGCUUAUUGUCGAUAUAUGCAGCGCAUCAUUUCUGUCUCUUCUGAUAAAGAUGUGUGUCCAUCUAAACGCUUGAACCGUCUUUGGUUUCAGCACCUGAAAAAGACAAGGGAAAUUAAAGAGAAAUUAAAAAAAUUGAAGUAAUCACCACGGGUGGUUCAGUGUUUGGGAACAAAUUCCAAAUUCGUAUUUCACAUGGCAAGUCUUGGGUUUAAUUUUUAGCAUUAGUGAAUCACACGAUUGUGACCAGAAAGAGGCUAAAAUGCAGCCUCCAAAAGAGUACACUGCCGUGUCGAAGUUACUAGUUGGUCCCUUUUAAAAAAAAUAAUAAUAAUUGAAGUUAGUGGGUAAAGAAUGCAUACUGCUUUGCAUUGGAUUCGGUGUUGCUCAACUAGAAAGUAAAAGUGAGGACAAAAUCAUUGAGUAUAUGGUAUGUCAUCUGAAAGAAAAAUAAAAUGUUGGUGAUGAAUGAAGAAUGAAGAAUAAAAUUAAGAAACGAGAAUGACAUUUGAAUAUUUUAUAUUUUAUACUGAACAAGGCAAGUGCAAAUUGAAACAAGUUAGAAAACAUACCUUACAAAUUAUGAAUAGAAAUGGAUGGGAUGUGAGCAAUCUUAGGCCAGUCCUCCCCUGUUUCCUUCUCGCAUCUUUCGCUUAACACGGGGCAUCUCCAAAUUCCCAAUGUAUUUAAGUUGGGGAGUCGACGAAUCCCUUCUGGCAGUGAUGCCAAAUUAGGGCAACUUUGAAUUUCAAGGUUCUGCAGUAACGUGAGAUUGCUUAUUUCUUCCGGUAGUGAUACCAAAUUUGGGAAAGAUACAAUCGUAAGCGAUUGGAGUGAUGGGAGGUUGACGACCACUUCUGGCGGUAAUGUCAGAUCAGAGUAUUCUCCAAUUGCAAGCUUCUGAAGUGAUGUAAGAUUGGCGAUCCCUUCUAACAUUGAUGUCAAAUUGGAGCAAUUUGUAACUGUAAGCUCCCGAAAGGAUGCGAGGUUGCCCAUCCCAUGAUAUGGUAGUAAUGCCAAAUUUGGGCAAUCUUUAAUGUCAAGCGAUUGGAGUGAUGGGACGUUGCCCAUUCCUAGUGACGUUACACAUUCCAAAUCCUCAAUAUUACUGAGUGACAGAUGUGUUAAUUUGAAGAAAUGAGGGGAAGAAGAAGAGGCAGAGACAUCAACACCAACAUCAUGUGUAAUAUCAGAUGCUCCUCUAACAAACAAGGAAUCAACAACCUUCGAGCUGCACCCAUUGAGAUCUAUUCUCUCCACAUUUGGAUACAGAGGCAUGCAAGUUAGAUUAGGACAAUUACUGAUCCACAAUGUAGAAAGACCGGGAAAAGAAGGCAAAGACAGAUUUUCCGUUGAUGAAGAAGAAGAAGCAUUGUUAUGAGUGUGCGCCCUCCACCAUCCCUUCAGAACAGGGCAACUUUCUACCCAGAGGCCCUCCAGGGACGUCAUCAUCUCAUCACUCAUACUAUUGCCGCUGCUGGUAUCGUCUGAUAUGUACUCCAACUUCUCAAACCCAAUAAGGUCAAGAUACUUAAGGGAUGGGAAAUGAUCCAAGGGUGGAAGAUGUUGGCAUCUAUGACACCCCCACAAUCUGAGAUCAACAAGAUUUAUGAGAGAAGAAAACCAAAUCGGAAACCUCACACCACCAUAAUACCACACGGACAACUUCUUUAGAUUUGAAUGGGGUUGCAAUACUUCCAUUGACAUUAUAAUAACCUUCUCAUCAAUUGCGUUUACAUCUUCUCCAUAUUUCCACCAUAAAUGCAACGAAUGGAGAUGCUGUUUCUCCUUGAGAGGCGUACCAACAUUUGAUUCUGACAUCACAUCUUUCUCGUGCCUCAAGUAUUUAAUUUCUAACCAUCCCCUUAAUUCCUUAAGCCUUCCCAGUUCACCAAGACCCGCAGCACUGUCCCUCAACAAAGAAUUGUUUUCGCUCAAAACAAAUCUAUUCAAUGUACGAAGACCAUUCAGCUCCCCCAAUCCACGUGGCAUUCGAGUCAAUCCAUUACAGCCUUGCAAGAGGAGAUGCCUUAAGUUGAUCAUUUUUUUUAUGUCUCUAGGCAAUUCCACAAGCCUAUCACACCGACUGAGAUCUAGUGUUUCCAAAUUCGAAAGUCCAACUAUCCAAUCUGGAAGUCUCUUGAUGCCAUCAUUAUCACUAAGAUCAAGAUAUCUCAAAUGUUUCACUUUUUUAAGACAAUUUGGUAAUUUUUCAUUUCCUAUGCGCUUGAGACUCAACAUACGCAGUGACUUAAAAUUUGAGAUAAUUGUAGCAGAAAAUGAAUUAUCUACUGAAAAACCUCUAAACUUUUGGCAAGGAAGAAGAAAGGUUCGUAUCUUUUUUGCAUUUAGCAAGGAAGUUGGCACUUCCCAUUUCGACAGAUCAACAUGAAAAUUGAAAGAUACAUGACGAAGCUUUUCAUGAAAUUUCUUUUGGUUCCGAUCAACUAUGGCGCUUCUGACCCCCGACACUAAGAUUGCAAGUUCAUUCAUGAGAUCGUGCAUUUUACAACUUGUUAUUACACCAAACUCAUCUUUUUCUUCUUCUUGAAAAAACGAUCUGCACAACAAUUCCAUAUAAUACUCAUACGCAACAUCCUCCAAACUCUCGUUUUCACCUGAUGACUUAAUGAACCCUUGCGCCACCCAAAGUCUAAUCAACAUCGGUACAGAGAUCUCAUAAUCAGGUGGGAACAAGCUACAGUAAGCAAAACAAUGCUUCAAAUGUGAUGGGAGCACAUCAUAACUUAGUUUAAGUGUUGGUAAAAUUUUAUUUUCUUCCUGAUUUAUUCUUGAAAGUUUCUUUUCUUUGAAAUUCAACCAUUCUGUUUCGUGAUAUUUGGUGUGCAACAUCCCACCUAUUGUCCUUAUAGCGAGUGGAACUCCCUGACAUUUUCUUGCAACCUCCUUCCCAAUUGCCUUAAUUGUUGAAUUCUCUGGCUCUUUUCCAUCUUUAAAAGCCAUUUCCUUAAAUAAAGACCAACUGUCCUCUUGAUUCAAACCCCUUAAGGUGUACGGUUUAGCUGUGUCUGAUAUCUUCGCAACUGUUUCACUACGAGUGGUUAUUAGUAUUCUACUACCUUUUCCACCCCCCAUUAACAAGUACUUCAAGGUAAGCCAUUUCUCCCUAUUCUCAUCCACACAUCAUCCAACACAAUUAGGUAUUUCUUUCCAUCUACUUUUCUUCUAAGAUCAUUUUGCAGCUCAUCCAUAUCAAUCUUGUCAACUUUUAGUAUUUUCUUAACAAGUAUAUCCAACUCAAAUACAUUAGAGACACAUGACCAUAUUUUCAACUCAAAAUGAUUUUGAAUCACCUCAUCGUUGAAUAUGAGUUGGGCAAGACCAGUUUUCCCCAAUCCUCCAAAUCCAACUAUGGAAAUGGUGGACACAUUCUCAGUUGAGAUGGGAUCCAACAAAAGUUGAAUAAUUGCCUUUCUAUCUUCAUCUCUCCCUAUAAUAUUUUCCUUAGGGACAAAUGAGUGAGUGAUCCUCUCUCUAAUUAUAAAUCGUGUAUCUUCACAAUUUACUUCUAAGGGAAAGGCUCUACGGGAUGCAACCUCACGAAGCCUCUUGUUAAGAUCUUUUAUCUUAUGACCCAUCUUUAACCGAAAAGCAAGUUGAUUUGAGCUAGAGAAGAAGAGGCGUACCUUCUUUGACAUCUUAGUAUUGCCACACAUCAUUUGUCUCUGCUGCGCUUCAGUAUUAAACUCAUCCAGCAGGUCAUCGGCUUCAUAAACUGCAUCUUCUACGCUUUCGAGCCACACUUUGACUUCAUUGAUGGUUUGCUUUUUCUCAGCAUCAAGAAGAACAGCUUGGAAUCCGGCAACUAUCUCCAGGAGCUUGUGGAGCUCAUCUUGGACACCCCAAAUCAAUCCGAUCUCUUGGAAAGCAAGGGAGCCUAGCCUUCCGAUGAUCCGUGCUGCAACGUUGAAGAGAACUCCUUCCGCCAUUUCUUGUAUUCAGGACAAGCAAAAACACAAGUGAAGUGAAUUAAAGUAUAAACAAAGACCGGUGAAUAUAUUGCUGCCGGGUCCUCCACGUUGUGUUGUAUUUAAUUUGCUUGGCAUCUUCCGUACUUAUUUUUCCAAUGCCGGGGUCCUCCACGUUGUGUUGUCUUUAAUUUGCUUGGCAUCUUCCGUACUUAUUUUUCUAAUGCCGGGUCCUCCACGUUUUGUUUUAUUUAAAGGACAUAUUAGCAGUAGCUUCUGCAACUAACAAAUUACGGGUGGAUACAUAUUUAAUUUGUGAUUAAAAAAUUAAUUACUUGAACACUUGUUUAUUCAUAAUUUGCUAGCAGCAAGAGGAGCUGCUGCUGAUUUUUCAGCAGUCAAACUCCGUGCUGUAUUUAAUUUGCUUGGCAUCAGUACUUAAUUAUUCAUCGUAAUUAAUAAUUAAUAAUUCUAUAUUAUUAUAAAAGUAGAUGACCGCAUGAAGAAAUAUGCAUCCUACAUCAUUUCAUAUCAGCCAACAAAUGUUGAAGUUUUUGUCAACCAAUAAAUGUUGAAUUUUUGUCGGUCAACAAAUGUUGAAAGUGUGCUGCCUGCUUUCACACUUCUUGGCCUUAACAAAGAAGAUAUAAUUUUUCUAUAUAAAAGCCUAUCAACUCACAAAUAUGAUAGUGAGGAAUAGACACAAUGUAUUGUUUCAAUUACUUUGUAAUUUCAGUAUGAUAAAUGAGAAAGACUAAUGCUGCUGAUCCAAUGACAUAGACAUACUUACCAAACCUCAUAAAUAUUGUGACUUAUUUACUUUAUAUUUCACUGCACACAUCCUUAAUUUUACUAGUUGUUGGUCAUGUUUGAGCGGUUGAGAAAAUUAGAUCUCCAAAUUCCAACGCUUCAUUUCACGGCUGUCCAGUUUCGAAAUGAGAGUUGACGGAAAAACAAAAACAAAUAAUAAACAAUUCUACUAUUUCGCCACCGACAUUUUCACAAACAUUUGUUCUACUAGAUCGAAAAAUAGCACCGAUGGUCAGACGAGCAUUAGAUAAAAAUGAAAACUAACAAAAAGUUCAUAAAAAAACCUUUAAAUUUAACGAAAAAGGACAAAUAAAAAUGUAAAUAGUACCAAAGAAAGAUAAAAAUGUGAUUUUUCGUUAAAAGACAACAGUACCGAAAGUAUUUCGUUAAAACUUCCUAAAUAAAAUUACCUUUAACGAUUCAUUUGUAAUCACUUUUAAGAGAUGAAAAGAAGAUACGAGAAAUUUCAAUACUGCAGCUUUAUUUGGAAUUUGUAUUGGAUUGCUGUGAUAUCGAAUUGACACAAGCAUCAACAGUGUGUGUGUGCGUUUCCUACUACUGUGUGGGAUAAACAGAUUUGGUUCAUAGACCAAACCAUAGACCGAAAUAUGACGCCCUUUGCACAAUUCACCCGUUACACAUUUACUGUCGACAUCUAUAUAAACAGCGCUGCUGGAGAUAAUGAACGUGCGCCUUUGGGUAUUACUUUAAAUCGAUCGACGAAACGCGCCACCUGGUCUCGUGCUUCUGCUAUUGCUCAAAGGGGAUGAAGUCUGACUGGACAGUUGCACAUCAGAUAGUGAAACAGAACCGCUCUGUGAAAAAAUCAAUCCACCUGAACUACUUGAGGUGUUCCCGGAAGAAGGCACCCUGGUUGAGUAAGUAUCCCUUUUGGAAGCUGAAAGGAAUUCGGGCCGGAGAUCCGAUGAUGAGGAUGAUGGAGCCAGGGUGGCCAGCAGAGACCCAACCGGAUAUUGAACAACAGGCAUAUCAACGAGAGAUGAAGCUGAGAGGUCGUACCUCAUGGUCUGCACUGGAUGGUCAAAUUUGCAUGUAGAUCCAAACUUGCACUGACCAUUUUGCAGGUAGAAUGUACACGGUUGCACUCCCUGUCCAAACAAAAGCACGUUAAUUUUCUCCAUAGAAUAUGACAUUGUUUAACAAAUUAAUGAAAUAUACGCAAUUCACCACAAAUAUGGUAUAAUGCUCAUAAUAAUCGACACAGGGGCACAAAAAGGCACGAGAUAUAACAUUAAAAAUCUAAAAACGUCUGUUGCUUCACGAUAAUACUUUUGUUACAAAGCGGCCAACCAAAUUUAAAUAAUAAAACAAAAAAUGUGAAGAAGAAGCCUGUGAACCAGCAAGACCAGAUAAAGAAAAGCAACCCUACAUUAGAGGGGAAAGACAUCUCAAAGAAUGAGGGCAACAGCAAUUCUAUCAACGAUGAACAAACUGAUAAAAAGUAACUUUAAUAUAGAGAAAGCAAAAAUAUAAAACAUAAAGUGAGCACUGAGAAUAAUGCAAGUGCUGAAGCACAAAACUCAAGCGAAGAUACGUAUAUAUCAUUGCAAGGGCCUACACAGCAUAGAUUAUUUUGUUUCAGGACUGCAGCAAAGGUUUUCCAGUCAAGGAACCUUCUGUCAUCUUGCUCCUUUAUUCUAAAGGACCUUUUGGAUAGAUAACUAUUUCAUAAGGUUUUUCAGCAACCAGAGGCACAUUUGUUUUUCGAGUUACAACUUAUAAUGUGUUGCCGUGUCAUCUGAUUCCUAUAUUGAGCACAUUACACAUAAACAUUAUUCCUACAUUAACCAUACAACUACUUAUGCUCAUUGACACAUCUGCUAAACUGGGGCCCACCGUACAACCCUACAAUAUUUGGAGGCAUGAAACAGUAGCAAAUAUGGAUAGGUACCUUUGGGUUUCAAACCUGAGACCACACGGCACAAACCCAUGUGCCUCAGCCACCCUACUGAGCCCCUGUUGGUUGAUGCUCAUUAAAUAUCAAAAUGUCUCUUUAAAUUACAUCAAUCACCAAUCAGGUUUGUACAACACUGAGCAUUAACUUCCUCAGACCUCAAUGGCAAAGAUUCUUGUACAAAAUAUAACCUUAAUAAAAGAAGACUGCUAACGAGACCAAGGUAAACGAACAUACCUACCUAUACUGCAGAACAAUCAAAAUGAAAAACAUGUUUUCUCAACCUAUAAACAUAGUAUGACUGCCUUUUCUUUGCCACCAAAUUUUUAUUUCAUUUGGUUGUACAAAGGAGGUCAACCAGGUAUGCCUUUAGAUACGAUAGUAGCAUCCCCCAAUCCCCUUUUUGGAAAAAGAUUACUGUUUAAUCGAGUAAAAGAAAAACAACUCUUGGGUCUACCAAAUUGGAUAACCAAGUGAUGAACUCGAUAACUUCUAACAGCGGAAUUUUAAAAAAAAAAAUUAAAAAUUCAUCAAAAAUAAUAUAAAACAACUUUGCAUACCGGACGGAGUGGGAGACCCAUCGGACUAAGGAGACAAGUUAUUCUCGGUACAGUUCGAUCCCGAGGAUGAUGAUACCUACAAGAUGGUCCAUAUUUACAGUCCCCAGUUUUCAGAUAGUACUGGCAUUCAAGUUCGCCAGGCCUCUCUGGGAAAACUUGUUCAAUCGGGUUGCUGCUAGAAGGACCAACAGAAGAGGGUAUGGAGGUAUAAGGGCUUGCAAGUCCGUGUGUUGGAGAAGGUAGCUGUGUUACUCCAUAUAAAGAAGUUGCUCCAACUGUGGGUUGAGCUCCAGGAGAUGGUACAGGGCUAAGAGGUGCCUGCACCAAGUAAUAACAUAUUACUAUUAGUAAUGAACUUCAAUCAUAUAUCAACCUGAAUAUGUCUUUAUCAUACCGAAUACGGACUCCAACCCUGAAUCGGAACAACUCCAGGAGAAGGAAUCAAGACAGGACCGUAAGUCCCUUGCACAUAUGAUCCAGUUAACAGUGGAGGCCUAGCCACCCUCAAACUGGUGGAUGCCCCCCCAUACUGUUCUGCCAAAGGAACAGGAGACUGCACCGAUGGAUAAAAUUGGGGUGCAGAAGCCGGUAUUGUUGUUCCAGCAGGCUGUGGAUGAUGGAAUUUACAGGUUAUGCCAAAUUUGCAUUGCCCCGUUUUCAAAUAGUAGGAGCAUUCAUUCUCGCCCUGUUAUAAAAAAAAUUAAAAUUAAUUUUUAACAACUGUGUAAAGCGGGAGCCUGUGCACUGGUACGACCUUUUUUUUUUGUUUUUUUGUGAGCCACUUGCUCCACAAAUUUCACAAAAGUCUACACACACCCAUAUGUGGAUGAGAGGAAAACAGAGAGACAGAGUCAGAAAGGAAAUCAAACCGGUCGUAAUGGGUAUCCAUAAAUAUUUAGGGGAGCUCGGUUUAAGGAUCCAGCUCCAUGUUUUGGAUGGUGGAACUUGCAGGACGCACCAAAUUUACAGGUCCCAGUCUUUAAAUAAUACUGCACAUUAGACAAACAUAUGCCACAAUCACAUAUGAAGUUCAAAGCUCAAACAAAUAAAUGGACAACAUAACAAAGUUGCCGAAAAGUUUCCAGAUCUACAUUGUCAUUAUCAGGCAAGAAAUUCACAUUUUACAACAGAUUAGAAAACUAUUGCAUACCUGACAUACGGGUUCCCCCACUCUAUCUGGGUAAUCCCCUGUAGCUCUUACAGCUGCCACGACCUACGUGCAGCAUCAAACCGAAAUCAUAAACAAAAGAUAACAAAAUUAAAAUUCACAAGCAAAGACAAUUUCAGUUACCAAUAAAAUCCAAGCAGUUGUAACUAAGACAACAUUUCCCACUGCACCGAGCCCAAAACACAAAUAUUAGGCCUAAUAUUUUCAUCAAAUAUAGACUAGUUUAACUUUGUCGAAUAAAUUCCAAAAAAGGUUCCCAUUUCUUUUCCCCAGCUUUCUCAGCAAACAAACAAUCAUCUAGUUUCAGGUAAAGGGACAAAAAACUACCUUCAACAAAACACUCAAACUUACGAAAAUUCAAAACAACCUACAUAUCCUGUUGCAGUCACCUAUCACCGAAAGCUUGAGUACUAGUUUACAUAUCAAAACCCGCAAUUAAGCAGUAUCGAAAAAGCUCAUUAACUGAUUGCAAUGCAAGUUUACAACGAACAAGGACUUACCGCAGCACGAUCGCGAGGAUGGUUGUACCGGCACCGACCACCGUAUCCACAGAACCCGGUUCGCAUGUAGUAGACACAGUUGGGCACGCCGGGUCUCUCCGGGUACGAUUCGCCGCCCGUCAGCCCCAAUUGCCACAUUUGCUCUACAAUUCACCCCCAAACCAGAACAAAACCCCAAUCACAACCCCACAUUACCAAACCAAACACAAAACCCUAGAAACCCCAGAUUACGAAAUUAGCCCAAAUCGAGCUCAAACGAAGCGAAAUUAAAACGCCGAGCAAGUAAAGGAGUACCUUCGAGGCCGGUCUCUCCGGCUGCGGGGCUCCAUUCCUGGUUCGACCCGUUUCCGGCGGGGCUUCGUCCGUACAACUCCAUCACAAAAACGGCGGCGUGUUGGGUUUCCUGUACACCUUCAGCAACUAUGAGGAGCAGAGUAAGGGGGAAAGGGAGAGCUGUACAGGAUUCCCACCACCCUUCUAGAGAGGCCUUUGAAGGAUCGGAGAAGCUCGAUCGAGCGGAAGAGAGUGUGAGAGAAAGUGGAGAGAGAGAGAGAGGAACGGAGACGGUUGCUUCACAGUGAUGGAGAAGCUUAAUUGCUCUCUCUCUUAAAGCGAACGUAUUCGUACUGUCUGGUAUCGGCCUUUUGGCUUCACACUCACUGAAAGUUUGAAACACUCUUUCUUUCUCUCUCCUCAUUUUCUCUCUCCUCCUUUUGAUUCAUUUAUGGAAAAAUCUUGGGUUUGUUUGGGGAAGGACUCCAAAUAUGGAUUGGUGGGGAAAUUGAUCGGAUUCCUUUCUCCUAAUCUAUCAAGGGAAUUCGUGUUGUUGAAAUUUGAUCUAACAGCUACAAACAUGAGUCCAUCUUAAAAGUUAUAAUAAAUUCAGCUGUUUGAUCAAAUUUUAACGAUAUAGAUCAUCUGAUUUGAAGGAUUAAGAGGAAGAAAUCCGAAAAUCUCUUUCCGAUAGGUGGAUUAGAACACGAAACCUCGAAGACAUAGAUGAAUGUUAUUAACUAAUAUUUUAUUAUUAGUUCAGAAUGCUAAAAUAACAUUUUUGCAGUGCAUGUAAGUCAUUUCAUCAAAUUUAAAGUUAAGUCUCUGGGUUGUAGUCGCUCGAUACUUGUGUAACUCAAAUAUUGAUAACAUCAAUGGUAAUUAUGUCUGCUUUGAAGAAAGAUGUCUCAUGUUUCUUUAUACUCUCAUUGACAACAAGUUUUAUGUUUGAUUAUGAUUGACGUAUGUAUAACUUAGUUGAAUCUCAUCCUUAUUUUGUUUUAUCAACCAAUAAUAGAGAUGACAUGCAGAUAGUUGAUCAAGUGACGAUACAUUUAUUGCUAUUAAAUGAGCGGACACAUCAUGCAGUCAGAUGAAACUUGGCUAAACUUUCAUCCUUUGUUUAAACUCUCAUAAUCUCAUUGAUAACAAAUUUUACAUUUACUUUAUAACUGGCAUAUUCUGUAACUUAAUUGAAUAUGAUCUUCAUAUUGUUGUAUCAAAAUAUUAAAACGACCAAUAAUAGAGAUGACAUGCAUAUAGCCAACAAAGUGACUAUACAUUUGUUACUGUUAAAUGAGCGGACAUAUCACGCGCUCAGAAGGACUAAUCCAAAAUUUUCUAUUUCAUUAGCCACUUGGAUAACGUCUCUUUCCGUACCGGACAAAGUAAAGGGCACCUGGAAAGAGAAAGUUUAGUUUGGGAACAACCGACGAUGGACUUUGGAAAUUACGAAGCAACCCUGGAGAUUGGGGUAGGCUUCUGAUUGGCUUGUUCUUUAUGUUCGGAGCCGUCCACAAAGGACACCACGGUUAGCCUGGCAUUUUGGACCCAACCCGUUAAUCCGAUCCGACCUAACCCGUUAAUAUUUGUAUUUGGGUGGAUGCUUAACGGGUCGGGUCGCUAACGGGUGAACCCGUUAACAACCCGUUAAAUAACGGGUCACUUUGGGUCAACCCGUUAGACCCGUUAGGACCCGUUAACACCCGUUAGCAUCCGUUAGUUGAGGAUAUUUUAGUAAUUUUAGUAAAGUCUUAAUAACAAAAAAUAAACUUUAUGCAAAAAAAUAAUAAUAAUAAUUGUUAACGGGUGUUAAUGGGUGAAACGGGUGACCCGUUAGCUUAACGGGUCGGGUUCCGAUGACCCGUUAGCUUAACGGGUUGGGUUCGGGUGACCCGUUAACUUAACGGGUCGGGUUGAACCCGACUCAAACCCAAUAAACCCGACCCGUUUACAGGUCUAACCACUGUGCACUGUACGGCGUGUGGUCGGGCAGUUUAUAUUCUAAAUGUUUAUAUUCAUUAGUUUUAUCCGAUACUGUUUAUUUUAACGAAAAAUCACAUUUUUAUACUAAAAAGUUAAUUAUGAUACUAUUCAUUUUACCUUUUAUUUUGUUAUUAUCGUUAAAACUCAAAGUUUUUAAACUAUUUUCAUUAAUUUUCUUAAAAUUAAAUUGGCGCUAAACAAAAAACCCAAAUUGGUGUUAGAAAUGUAGCUUAAAAUGCCAAGAUGGUUAACGACUCGAUCGUCGAUCAAUCAUGGCUAAUUUAUCGGGGACGCUAACGAACAAUAAGAUAAUUUACACUAAAUUAAUCUAAAUUAGCAUUUGCCUACACAUUUUGUGUGUAUGGACACAUUUUUUAGAAAAUGAGAAGGAGAGAGGGAGACAAAGAGAACGUGGGGGAGUGGGGGUCGUGCAACCUGUAUGUCAGGUAUACAAUAGUUUUCUGAGCUGUUGUAAAAUGUGAAUUUCCUGCCUGAUAAUGACAAUGUAGAUAUGGAAACUUUUCGGCAACUUUGUUAUGUUGUCCAUUUACUUGUUUGAGCUUUGAACUUGAUAUGUGAUUGUGGCAUAUGUUUGUCUAAUGUGCAGUAUUAUUUAAAGACUGGGACCUGUAAAUUUGGUGCGUCCUGCAAGUUCCACCAUCCAAAACAUGGAGCUGGAUCCUUAAACCGAGCUCCCCUAAAUAUUUAUGGAUACCCAUUACGACCGGUUUGAUUUCCUUUCUGACUCUGUCUCUCUGUUUCCCUCUCAUCCACAUAUGGGUGUGUGUAGACUUUUGUGAAAUUUGUGGAGCAAAUGGCUCACAGUUGUUAAAAAUUAAUUUUAAAUUUUUUUAUAACAGGGCGAGAAUGAAUGCUCCUACUAUUUGAAAACGGGGCAAUGCAAAUUUGGCAUAACCUGUAAAUUCCAUCAUCCACAGCCUGCUGGAACAACAAUACCGGCUUCUGCACCCCAAUUUUAUCCGUCGGUGCAGUCUCCUGUUCCUUUUUAAUAUUGUAUUUUCUUUGCUAUUUUUUUUUUUCAAUUUGUAUCUAUAAAAUUUAAAUACUACAAAUUAGAGCACCACUUUGAGUGAACAAAAGUGUUUCCUGUCUUGAAAGGUCUUCAGUUUGAAAUAUGUUGCAUGAUUUUUUUUGUGUAAAACUUAUCAACCUUUUAAGUUAAUAAAUUUGCAAAACUUAAAAAUAGCAAAAUAGUUUCACAAGGACUCAAAUCGGGACCCUGUGCGGUGACACUUUUUACACACCCUCAGAAUCGGCUCUGAAACCGUGGGGAAAAUUUGAAUAAGGGCUGCGUGGUGGUAGGUAGUGGACAAGGCGGUUCAAUUGUUUUUUUAUUUUUUUUAAUUAAGUUAAAACCUUGCGUGUUACAAUGAUCAAACUAAAUGUUAAUAAAAAUGAAGAUAAUUUGGUCGCAUUAAAAUAGAAAAUCUUUUAAUUGUGCUUAUAAGCUGUGGUACAAAUGUCGGCACCAAUUUUAUUUCACUGUAUUAUUUUUGCAUUCAUGUUAUAAUUUGUUUUUUGAUAUUAAUGAAGUUGAACCAAUGAUUUAAUUAAAAAAGGCAUGGUCCCAUCAUUUGAUAGAUAAAUAUAAUUAGCGCUUUUGUGUACCUUACCAUAUUUGUUCAUGCCUUUAUAGUGAUAGCAACCAUCACCCACUUUUGUUGCUAACUAGUACUUACAAGGACUAUAUAAGUUUCCUAUAUGUUUGUCAAUUAAAAUGUAUUCAAAGAGUUGGCUUAGUUGGUAAGAUCCUCACUUUGUGUGUCACCCCAUUAAGGUUGGAGUUCAUUUGCCAGCAGUUCUCGUUAAUGCAUGAUCUGUAAAUUUCUAAGCAAAUCCAUACUGGUGACAACUGACAAUUAGGUUAUAUGUGUAUGUUCUUCCAGCUCGAGGUUGUGAGUAUGUCCUCAUGCUGGUGAUGAAAAUAACCAAUCUUGCCAUCUUGCCAUAAACUUUUGUUCACGAAAAAAAAAAUAGUAUUCAAGUGUAGGUUGUGGAUGGAAACAAAGAGGAAGAUAAAAGGAAAUUCAUUUCUCAGUCUAAUCGUAUUUUUAUUCCUUCUAGCUAGGUAGGUGGUGAAUGGGAUCACAUUUGCCUGUGUCAACUAACAUUUUUGCAUGGGGUGUUAUUGUGGAUAUCAUGUUGAAAGACGAGAAAAAACAGAAUAAACUCAGAAAUCGAAAAACAAAGUAAUUAACAUGAAUAUUACCAAGAAUUAACAUGGUUCGGCUAUUUGUGCUUAAGUCCACGAGAUAACAACAACAAUCUCUCACUAUAUUAAUAAUGAGUACAACGGAUAAUCUUAACAAGUCUCUAAUUUAAGACUUGACAAACAACUUGAAAGAACAAGAACAAGAAAUGCAAUCUUAUCUCUUUUCUUUUAUUUCGCACAUACUUUGCUCAAAUUUUAAGUUUUAAUCCAAGAAGUAAAGAUAGUCUAAUGCCAAAAAUAUUAUGAACAUAAUUGCUUUAUACAAAAGUUACUUGCAUUGCAUUUGUAACCUUUUGUUAUUCAUGUUGACAAAAAAAAAAGAACUUUAACGAAAAGCUUUUGGUACUGUUCACUUUAACGAAAAACCAAAUUUUUACACUAAAAAGUCAAUCUUGGUACUAUUCACUUUACUCUUAAAGCUCAAAAAUUUCAAAUCAUUUUUAUUAGAUUUUCUAAAAAAAAAACCUUGUGUUAUUCCGGUUGUGGGAUACGAUAUCUAAGUUCCCAAACAGGACGCGUAGGCGGGACCUUAUCUCUUCCAAACGCCACAUAUCUAUUUAGGCGCGUUUUUCCUUCCGACCUGCAACUUCCAUGGCUGCAAUGAGUGGCCUCGCUACGAGCUCCACUCCUUCUCGAUUACUCGCAUUUCCAAUAAGACGCGGUUUCCCGGACCACUCGUCUUCGCGCUCCGUGGUCAUCAGUAAACCUCCUCCCAGAGCUCCCAGACUCGUUUGCAUGGCGGUUUGUACAUCCACCCCAAAAAAUUAUAACAAUUCCGAAUUCGGAGCAUUGAAAUUGGAAGUUUACAGCUUUCGAAAUUGGGGUUUUGUUAUUUUUGAAGGAAAAAGUUUUCCCCUGAAACAAACAGUUGUUAUGGGAUGGCAUUCUCAUUUUCUGGUGUUAUUUUUGUGGAAUUGCAGGAGCCCUAUUUGAUUACAAAGCUGGAUUCUGCAGAGAAGACCUGGAAAGAUUUAUCGGUACGAUUCGUACUCUGAUUGAAUGUUUUGGGUUGAUGAUUUUAAUUUUCCCACCCUGUGCGUGUAUGUGAUGUGAGAUUUUGAGGAUUAGUACUCUGUUACUGUGUAGUUUAGUAGUCUAGGGUUUUAGGGUUUAGGGUUUUGUAUGACGGAGAAUUUGAAUGAUUUGCGAAAAUUGGGAAUAAAGAAUUUUGGCGAUUGGGAUUUUGAUGGUGGUGAUUACAAUUGAAGACCCCAUUGCAGAGAUUAUUUUCAGAUACAACUUUGGACUUGCAUAUACUCUUAACCGAAUUCGAAUUUAUCUUUUAAUUGUACAAGAAAACAGAUAGAAAUGCACCAACGUAAUCCUACAAUUUUUUUAUUCAAUAGGCAAAAACUCCGGACUUUCUCUCGAAUGCUUUGAAUCUAAUAUCUAGUUACGAUUUUGGUAUUUCUGGUCCAUGCGAUUACGAAGGAUUUUGAAAGAUCAGCGUAAAUUGGGUUAAAUUGUUUUUCAUGCCUAUCUAGUUCUCUAAUUAUCAAGAGUAUAGAUUCGUGUACUGUGCUGUUGCAUGGUUAGUUAUUGCUGUUGUUUUCUCUAGAUUUGUGUAUGCUCAUGAAGAAGGGGAACUUUGUAGGUCAAGCUGGCUGAUCCAGACGUUGUGUCAAAUCCCAGUGAAUACCAGAAGCUUGCGCAGUCUGUGGCAGAGCUUGAUGAGGUGCUGCGGUUUAUCUUUGCUACUUAUCGUGCCAGGUUUUAGUUGUGUGUUCUGCACUUCUGCUUGAAUUUCUUUUCAGAUUUAACUGACAAUAUUUUGCCUUUGAUUUCAAUGGACAGGUCGUGACAAUCUAUAGGGAUUUCAAAGACUCCGAGAAGCAGUUAGAAGAGACUAAAGGUUUAUGUAACUAUAUGCCUGUGUAAAACAUUCCUUUCGGAAAAAUUAGAGGUAUUUACUAACAUUCAUUUUGAUAUUUUACCCCUCUUCAUAAUCGGUGAUUCAGCUUUAGCAAAAGAAGCUGGCAAUGAUGAGGAUAUGGCAGAGAUGAUAUCUUUUGAACUUGAAUCUUUAUCCAAUCAAAUCAAAGAACUUGAAGCGAAGCUCAAGGUAUUAUUACAUGCACAAUGGAUCAGUUUGGCAUUCUUAACUACUUUAACCGAAUAUUGUUGUUUCCAUUUUCUAAUGUUUUCCUUUCCAUAGUAGGAAUAUCAAUUGGGAUAAUGUUUCAUUUUAUAUUAACAGAUGCUACUCCUUCCUAGUGACCCUCUUGAUGCAAGAAAUAUAAUGCUUGAAGGUAAUCUCAUAGUUUCCCUUGAAAUAAACUAUUCUAUUGAUUGCUUGAGAACCACAUAUGAUGUUUAACCACGUAAAAUGCUCUCGAGUCUAGGAACAUCAUAUGUCCACACCAGAUUUGACUGAAGCUGUACCUUAUACAUUUGAAUUCUCUUUUUCUGCAGUAAGGGCUGGUACUGGUGGUGAUGAAGCUGGAAUCUGGGCAGGUGAUCUUGUAGGUAUAUGUUUCUUUUGUCAUUUAAAAUCUGUAGGAUACAUGACCAUUAUUUUUUAUUUGCAUAAACAGAAAAGUUGGUAAAAUAAAGAAAAACUCAUACUAUAUUCAUGGGGUAGGUUACAUAGUGCAUUGCGUAAACUUCAAAAGUCUUUGUUAUUGAUGUGCCUGUAUACUCUUUCUUCUCCUUUAUGUUUUAUUUUUCAAUGAUAGGCCUCAUUGGCAAAACCAACUAUUCUUGUGUUAUGAAAUCCUUCUUCUGAAGUUGCUUCCAAGCAUAUCUUAAUGCUUCUGCAUUUCUUUUGCUUUUCUAUUUUUUCGUACCAAGGUCCGUAUGUAUGAGAAGUACAGUGAGAGGAAUAAUUGGAGGUUCAGCACAGUCUCAAGCUCAGAGGUAUGCUUCACUGAUAUUUUUAGCGGUAUAUCCUGUUUCCGUUGACAUAGUGACAGAGCUCUUGCAUUAUUUUAGGCUGAAAGAGGAGGAUACAAGGCCUAUGUGAUGGAAGUCAAAGGAAAACGUGUAUACAGCAAAUUAAAAUAUGAAUCAGGUGUUCAUCGGGUUCAACGUGUUCCUCAUACAGAAACACAGGGUCGCGUGCAUACUUCCACUGCGACUGUUGCGAUCAUGCCAGAGGUAGCUUAUAUUUUACUUGUCACUGUAAUCUUUUAUGUACUCCAUGAUCAAACAUUUUCUGAUUCAUUGACUUAUUGUGCUUGUUCUGUGCCUUACUAUAGGCGGAUGAAGUUGAGGUGGUUAUCGACCCAAAAGAUAUUGAACUGACAACAGCAAGGUCUGGGGGAGCCGGAGGUAUUUAUGUGCAAAGAGUAUUAUUUUCUUAAUUAACACUAUUUUGCAUGUCUCACUCUUUAGAACAGGAUUUCCUAUGUGAGUUAAGUCUCAUGCAUGAUUAUCGUGCAGGGCAAAAUGUCAACAAGGUGGAGACAGCUGUUGAUCUUGUCCAUAAACCAACGGGCAUCCGCAUCUUUUGUAGUGAAGAAAGGUCUCAACUUCAGAACAAGCAUCGUGCUUUUCAGUUGCUGCGGGCAAAAUUGUGAGUACUGAUUUCUCUGUUUUAAAUGUCCUGAUAUUCUUAUUUUGUUAGUCACAUUAACUGUUCCUUUUACUAAACAUUUUGAAUUUUGCAUAAUAUUUUCGACAUAGCUUGACAUAUGCAUGUAAUCAACGCUAUUCACACAUAAUACCUCUUGUUUGCACACUUUUUCCUUGGUCCAUGAUGAUCAACGGCAUUGUUACAGGUAUAAGAUAAAAGUGAGAGAGCAGCAGGAGUUGAUUAGGAAUCAGCGGAAAUCGCAGGUAUCUUUUAGCUUAGAGAAUAGUUACGAGGCUCGUGAGAUUGCAACAUCUCUGUUCUAAACUUUUGCCAUCACAUAUAUGCAGUUCUUUGAUAUUAGGCUAUGCAAUGGGAACGCUAGAUUAUGGUUUUAGGGCCAGGACUAAACCAUGUGACAUUUGUAUUCUUAAAAUGCAGGUUGGUACUGGUUCUCGUGCAGAAAAGAUUCGGACAUACAACUUUAAGGUACUGGCAAUGAGUGAUUUAUGCUAACCAGUAACCAACGUGAGACUUGUGUUCAACAUUUUUGUCUCUGAGAUUUCUUUCAUUCGAUUGGUUAUGUUUCAGGAAGUUCACUUCUCUUGUUUAUUGAAUUAGGACAAUAGAGUGACCGACCAUCGGUUAAAGACAAACUAUGAGCUCACCUCUUUUCUUGGUGGCGAUAUAGAUAACGCAAUUCAGGUAUUUUUCCAGAGACAUGUCCUCCCUUCCUCUUAAUAAAUAUUUGUCAAAAGGAUUCGCCGAUACGAAUGCCUUGCAAUUGAUAUUCCUACUCUUCUUGCAGGCUUGUGCUUCCUUAGAACAGCAAGAACUCCUGGAAGAACUCGCUGAAUCUGUAGGAGCUCCGGCUGGCUAAUUUCUAGCUUGUUUUGUGGCAUUCUUGUUCGAGGAUUUACAGAGCCGGAUCAGGUGGUAAGGAAACCUUUGCUGGAACAAAUUAUUCAAAACGGGGCAAUAUUUUCGUAUGUUUUAUGUAGAGACGCAAUCACAGGCACAUGAGUUUUUUGUUAAAUUUGUUGUCGACAGGUUAAAUAGCCGAGUUAUGUAAUUUUUGUAUACAUGUAAAGUUGAGAGACUCGUGCAGCAAAAGAUGCCAUAAACACCUCCAUAUUUUCACUUUUCACAUUUAACAACAAAAAUGCCAACAAAGGAAAAAAUAAAGGAAAACUAACGAAAAGUUCAAAAAAUUUUUAAUUUAAAAUGAAAAAAUGACAAAUAAAGAGUAGGGAAUAAUAUCAGGAAAAGGUAAAAAUUUGGUUUUUCGUUAAAAAUGAAUAGUAUCGGGAAUGUUUUGUUAAAACUUUCAAGAAAUAAAAUGUAAAGGUUGUGAGGAAUUCAAGUGCAAAUAAAUAGGCGGACAAACUGUACCUCAGGGCCUUGUUAUGUGCCUUUUCCAAAAUGUACCUCAAGGUUCA